RNAcentral lists this unclassified non-coding RNA (2236 nucleotides) under Leishmania donovani. Its description in RNAcentral is "gene:LdHU3.33.3490(CDS-product:hypothetical_prote in_conserved)". The record is from RNAcentral. Lineage: Eukaryota; Euglenozoa; Kinetoplastea; Trypanosomatida; Trypanosomatidae.
UGAGUGAAGGCGGUGCAACAUCACCACACGCCCCGCAUGGAGGCACGCGUGGCGGAAGUGUGCGUUUUUGCAUAGGUGUGUAGGCGGUCUUUCUUUGCUUCUCUCGUGGUGCAUCACUCUAGAGACAGCCAUGCACAAGACUGCUUCGAUACGGUUAGCGACAGGGGGAGCGGCGGAAGCGACGCGUGCAUGCGCGCGGGCUACCUCAAACGCCGUUGCUGUUCCAGCCGUGGCGCGAGGGACGCAUUACUCAUUGUUUCUUCAACGGCAUCAUCGUGCGCUGGGCGUGCACAGCUGUGGUGAGGGCGCAGACUCACGCUUUCAGGCGCAUCGAUGCAGCCGCGCCUUCAUCAAGUCUCGCUCAUUGCCUCCAGAUGAUCCCUUCGGUGAGCGCAGCACCUGGGAGGACCCGAGCGACGGCAUCUACGCUGCCUGGAAGGACGUUGACCAGGAGGCAUUUGUAAAUGCCACGGAGAGCCUGGAGGUGCGCCAGGCACACUUCGGCCCGGAGUGGGCCCGCUUCAGCACGGUGGGCCGCAUGUCCAUCAAGAAGAUGCGAGAAGAGCAGAAACUGCAGAACUCGCCGCCGUCAGGUGCGGCUGAAAGUGAGUCACAGGGCGCUGGGGUAGCGGCGGCGGCGCCCGGUUCUUUGACACGGCGCUACCCCACAGCAGAGGAGCUGCACGAGGCAGACUUGAGGCAGCGGCGUCGGCUGCUGGAGCGCAACUACAGCAGCUACGAGGCCUUUCUGGAGCACGAGGUCGGUGACGGUGAAGGGUUUGCAGAGGCGGAUGAGGGCCUCGCCUUCGCGCCAGAGGCAGGGGCGCACCGAGGAGAUGCCCGGGCGGAGCUGUACUCGGCCGCAUCGAUGGAGAGUGCGUUCUCGUCUGUGGAAGGCCUUGACGGGCUCGACCGCAUGGCUCAGCGCAACGUAGAGCGAGAGGCACGAGAGACACUAGAGGCAGCCGAGGUACCAGAACGGGUGCCGCUGCCGCCUUUCAUGUUCGAGCCGGACACCCGUGACGUGGCUGCGGCACCGGCACUCUCAUCGUCGAACCUGACCCCCACCACCAGCUCAGCGCCGACGGCAACGGAGAUCACGAGGCCAAAGACGGCGACAAGCAUGUCUACAGCAGAACCGUGCUCGAUGAGCGGCUCUCCCUCGGAGUCGGCUUCGCCUUCUACGUCCGCAGCUGCAGGUGGCAUCCCUGCCUACGUUGUGCGGCAAGUGCUGGGGGCUCUCGGUAGCCCGCAUGGUGACUCCCGACUUCCCCUCACCGAUCCCCUGCAUUGGGGCACGGAGGAUAUCAUACGCUUUCUGACACUUAUGGAGCAGCCGCCCAUCUCUGCUGACUCCGGCGACUGGCCGGCGUCAUCGGCAUGGUCGACAAUGGAUGACACGAUGUGCAACACAUUUCGCAUGGCUUGCGUGACGGGUGAGACACUGUUGAACGUGGUGACGCCGCCUCGUUUGUUUCGGCUCAUGCGCCAGUGGCACAUUCGCCGACACGAUGUCGUGAGCAAAGCCUGGAAGCUGCGAGCGCAGGCCGAGGGAGCACUCGCUACGGAAGCGGAUAGCUGUCUUCCAGAUGAUGUAGUACAGAUGGCCGUGGCGCAGAACUGCGAGCGGCUGGCAGAGGCGGUGCAGCAGCUGGACCGCAACCUCAUUCACGAAACCAUUCUUCUGUGUUUUCCAUACGGUCACUGAGGGGUUAUGUGGCGCCGUGCUGCGGCUAUAGUUCGAAGCCCGAUCCGCCUCUGUGCUGCCCGACGCACACAGCAUCUUCUUUCUGGUUGCCGCAGGUGUCGAGGCUUCUCUUUCAAGCGGGCGUUCAUCUCUUUUUGGUUGCAGCUGUUGUAAACACGAGCGUUUUGCACCACUGUUCGAAUAGAUGGGCGACAGAGUAGGGAUGGGGCGGCGGAGUGUCGGCACUGCUAUAGCAGGAGGGCGUCCGUGUGUCUUCUGGCUGCUCGCCGCAUAUGUUUGGUAUGCCUGCCGCAUGAGGAACGCAAGGGAAGGCGUUGCGAAGAAAAAAAAAACAGAAUAUCGUCUCUCAUUUGCCACGCCUCGUUCCGCGCUCGUUGGGAGCGAGGAGGCAAAGCCGCGCGCUGUGCUACCCGGGGCUUGUGAGGGUACCGUUUGGGCUGCGUGUGUGCGUGGCUUCACUUUGUGCUUGUGUGGUGGCUCUGCUCUGUUUCUGCCUCGCUCUGCUUGAAGGGGGAGGAGGGCGGCGAG